This 92-nucleotide microRNA precursor is filed under the name Pongo abelii (Sumatran orangutan). Its description in RNAcentral is "miRNA". Lineage: Eukaryota; Metazoa; Chordata; Mammalia; Primates; Hominidae. The record is from RNAcentral.
GUAUUAUGUUGGUGCAAAAGUUAUUGCAGUUUUUGCUAUUUUUUUUUUUUUAAUGGCAAAAACCAGCAAUUACUUUUGCACUAACCUAAUAG